CGGGGUGCAGCAGGCGCGAAAACUCUACAAUGCAGGCAACUGCGAUAGGGGAACAUCGAGUGAUCCUCAUAUUGGGGGUCUGUCCACCCGUCUAAAAAACGGGUGUUAGCAAGGGCCGGGCAAGACCGGUGCCAGCCGCCGCGGUAAUACCGGCGGCUCGAGUGGUGGCCGAUAUUAUUGAGUCUAAAGGGUCCGUAGCCGGCUUUGCAAGUCUCUCGGGAAAUCCAGCGGCUUAACCGUUGGUCGUCCGGGGGGUACUACAUUGCUUGGGACUGGGAGAGGUAGGAGGUACUCAGGGGGUAGGAGUGAAAUCCUGUAAUCCUUUGGGGACCACCGGUGGCAAAGGCGUCCUACCAGAACAGGUCCGACGGUGAGGGACGAGAGCUAGGGGCACGAACCGGAUUAGAUACCCGGGUAGUCCUAGCCGUAAACGAUGCUCGCUAGGUGUCACAACAGUCGUGAACUGUUGUGGUGCCGUAGGGAAGCCGUGAAGCGAGCCACUUGGGAAGUACGACCGCAAGGUUGAAACUUAAAGGAAUUGGCGGGGGAGCACAAGGGCGAAUUCGCG
Molecule: ribosomal RNA, 568 nt
Filed under: uncultured archaeon
Lineage: Archaea
Description: bacterial SSU rRNA
Rfam family: Archaeal small subunit ribosomal RNA
Source: RNAcentral